This 583-nucleotide ribosomal RNA is filed under the name Myxococcus sp. Its description in RNAcentral is "bacterial SSU rRNA". It matches the Rfam family "Bacterial small subunit ribosomal RNA", at positions 55 to 619 of the family's 1533-position model. Lineage: Bacteria; Pseudomonadati; Myxococcota; Myxococcia; Myxococcales; Myxococcaceae. The record is from RNAcentral.
AUGCAGUCGAGCGCGAAUAGGGGCAACCCUUAGUAGAGCGGCGCACGGGUGCGUAACACGUGGAUAAUCUGCCUGGAUGCCCGGGAUAACCAGUCGAAAGAUUGGCUAAUACCGGAUAAGCCCACGGUUUCUUCGGAGACUGAGGGAAAAGGUGGCCUCUGUAUACAAGCUAUCACAACCAGAUGAGUCCGCGGCCCAUCAGCUAGUUGGCGGGGUAAUGGCCCACCAAGGCGACGACGGGUAGCUGGUCUGAGAGGACGAUCAGCCACACUGGAACUGAGACACGGUCCAGACUCCUACGGGAGGCAGCAGUGGGGAAUUUUGCGCAAUGGGCGAAAGCCUGACGCAGCAACGCCGCGUGUGUGAUGAAGGUCUUCGGAUUGUAAAGCACUUUCGACCGGGACGAAAACCCGUAGCCUAACAUGCUACGGCUUGACGGUACCGGGAGAAGAAGCACCGGCUAACUCUGUGCCAGCAGCCGCGGUAAUACAGAGGGUGCAAGCGUUGUUCGGAAUUAUUGGGCGUAAAGCGCGUGUAGGCGGCGUGACAAGUCGGGUGUGAAAGCCCUCAGCUCAACUGAGGA